RNAcentral lists this long non-coding RNA (324 nucleotides) under Elaeis guineensis (African oil palm). RNAcentral describes it as "long non-coding RNA (EGUI_LNC008145)". Lineage: Eukaryota; Viridiplantae; Streptophyta; Magnoliopsida; Arecales; Arecaceae. The record is from RNAcentral.
AUGGCGUAGUUAGCAACUGGUGGCAAGCGGUCAGCCAAUAAAAAGCAUAAAACAAGAGCAAAUCGAGGCCCUUUUGCUUGGUUGUUCUUGAGUUCGAGCCUAGUCACCGAUGAUUGAGCCUCCGACAUAAGCCCGAGACCAACAUGAAGAAGAAGUCAGGGGAUUUGGCAUGGGGCAUCAAUGCUGGACAUGGUCAAAAAAGAAAGAAAAGAUGGGCCAAAAAUAGGAGACUUCUUCAUGGUGGAUUUCUGAUGAAUUUGGUGGCUGGCAGCAGUGAUUAAGGCCAAGAGAAGAAAGGGAAUAAGAAGAGAAAGAGGAUCGAGG